AGAAAAAAUAUACACAUUCCCAAAAAUUUAUACUGUAAGCAUGGCUAUCAAGAGUGUUUCAGUUCUUGUUUGCACAUUCCUUAUACUUUUCAUAGGUUACAAUAACAUAGCUGAUGCAUCAGUGUGUUGCCAGGACCACAAGGUUAGUCCAUGUGUACAUGGUAGAGAUGAUAAUCCAGAGUUUGAUGGCAAAUGUUGGUUAUUAUGCAUUAAUGAUUGUGAGAAUGGAGGACAAUGUAUAAAUAACAAUACAUGUCACUGCAAAUGUUAGCUUCAUUUCUACAUAAAAUUAAAUAUGAAAGAUGGAUUUGAAUUUAUUCAUUAAAGGGCAUUUUAGUCCUUUUGUAUUG
Lycium barbarum (goji berry) is the source of this 350-nucleotide long non-coding RNA. RefSeq lists it as uncharacterized. NCBI's taxonomy places the organism in Eukaryota, Viridiplantae, Streptophyta, Magnoliopsida, Solanales, Solanaceae. The record is from RefSeq and is a predicted model, not a curated record. The transcript is spliced from 2 exons.